Molecule: ribosomal RNA, 388 nt
Filed under: Staphylococcus epidermidis
Lineage: Bacteria; Bacillati; Bacillota; Bacilli; Caryophanales; Staphylococcaceae
Description: bacterial LSU rRNA
Rfam family: Bacterial large subunit ribosomal RNA
Source: RNAcentral
UAAAAGGUAACGGAGGUGCUCAAAGGUUCCCUCAGAAUGGUUGGAAAUCAUUCAUAGAGUGUAAAGGCAUAAGGGAGCUUGACUGCGAGACCUACAAGUCGAGCAGGGUCGAAAGACGGACUUAGUGAUCCGGUGGUUCGGCAUGGAAGGGCCAUCGCUCAACGGAUAAAAGCUACCCCGGGGAUAACAGGCUUAUCUCCCCCAAGAGUUCACAUCGACGGGGAGGUUUGGCACCUCGAUGUCGGCUCAUCGCAUCCUGGGGCUGUAGUCGGUCCCAAGGGUUGGGCUGUUCGCCCAUUAAAGCGGUACGCUAGCUGGGUUCAGAACGUCGUGAGACAGUUCGGUCCCUAUCCGUCGUGGGCGUAGGAAAUUUGAGAGGAGCUGUCCU